GGCUCAGGACGAACGCUGGCUGCGUGCUUAACACAUGCAAGUCGAACGCUGAAGCCGACAGCUUGCUGUUGGUGGAUGAGUGGCGAACGGGUGAGUAACACGUGAGUAACCUGCCCCUGAUUUCGGGAUAAGCCUGGGAAACUGGGUCUAAUACCGGAUACGACCUCCUGACGCAUGUUGGGUGGUGGAAAGUUUUUCGAUCGGGGAUGGGCUCGCGGCCUAUCAGCUUGUUGGUGGGGUAAUGGCCUACCAAGGCGACGACGGGUAGCCGGCCUGAGAGGGCGACCGGCCACACUGGGACUGAGACACGGCCCAGACUCCUACGGGAGGCAGCAGUGGGGAAUAUUGCACAAUGGGGGAAACCCUGAUGCAGCGACGCAGCGUGCGGGAUGACGGCCUUCGGGUUGUAAACCGCUUUCAGCAGGGAAG
RNAcentral lists this ribosomal RNA (429 nucleotides) under Brevibacterium epidermidis. RNAcentral's name for it is "bacterial SSU rRNA". It matches the Rfam family "Bacterial small subunit ribosomal RNA", at positions 21 to 447 of the family's 1533-position model. Lineage: Bacteria; Bacillati; Actinomycetota; Actinomycetes; Micrococcales; Brevibacteriaceae. The record is from RNAcentral.